GUGCUCGCUUUGGCAGCACAUAUACUAAAAUUGGAACGAUACAGAGAAGAUUAGCAUGGCCCCUGCACAAGGAUGACACGCAAAUUCGUGAAGCAUUCCAUAUUUUU
RNAcentral lists this small nuclear RNA (107 nucleotides) under Canis lupus familiaris (dog). The record is from RNAcentral. RNAcentral also lists the same sequence under 2 other names. Lineage: Eukaryota; Metazoa; Chordata; Mammalia; Carnivora; Canidae.